This 497-nucleotide ribosomal RNA is filed under the name uncultured bacterium. RNAcentral's name for it is "partial 16S ribosomal RNA". It matches the Rfam family "Bacterial small subunit ribosomal RNA", at positions 28 to 507 of the family's 1533-position model. The record is from RNAcentral.
GAUGAACGCUGGCGGCGUGCCUAAUACAUGCAAGUCGAGCGAACAGACGCGGCUCUUGCUCCUCUGUCGUUAGCGGCGGACGUGUGAGUAACACGUGUAUCACCUACCUAUAAUACUGGUAUAACUUCGGGAAACCGGAUCUAAUACCGUAUAAUAUAUUGAACCGCAUGGUUCAAUAGUGAAAUACGGUUUUGCUGUCUCUUCUCGCUGGAUCCGCGCCGCAUUAGCUGGUUGUUAAGGUCACGGCUUACGAAGGCGACGAUGCGUAGCCGACCUGCGAGGGGGAUAGGCGACACGGGAAGGGAGACGCGGACAAGACGCCUAAGGGAGGCAGCAGAAGGGAAUGUGAGGCAACGGGCGAAAGCAUGACGGAGCAACGCGGCGUGAGUGAUGAAGACCUUCGGAGCGGAAAAAUCGGUUACGAGGGAAGAACAAAUGUGGAAGUAAAUAUGCAGGGAGUGACGGUACCGAAUAAAAAAGCAACGGCUAACUACGUG